AACGCACAUUGCGCCCCUUGGUAUUCCAUGGGGCAUGCCUGUUCGAGCGUCAUUUAAACCUUCAAGCCUUGCUUGGUGUUGGGUGAUUGUCCCCGUUAUCGUGCGGACUCGCCUGAAUUGAAUUGGCAGUCGUCUAUCUGGCUUUGAGCGCAGCACAUUUUGCGACUCUUACCAUGAGAGGUGGCAUCCAUAAAGCGCCUAUACUUAUUUUGACCUCGGAUCAGGUAGGGAUACCCGCUGAACUUAA
This 247-nucleotide unclassified non-coding RNA is filed under the name uncultured fungus. RNAcentral's name for it is "partial contains 5.8S ribosomal RNA, internal transcribed spacer 2, and large subunit ribosomal RNA". Lineage: Eukaryota; Fungi. The record is from RNAcentral.